This is a long non-coding RNA of Populus euphratica (Euphrates poplar), 596 nucleotides long. RefSeq lists it as uncharacterized. NCBI's taxonomy places the organism in Eukaryota, Viridiplantae, Streptophyta, Magnoliopsida, Malpighiales, Salicaceae. The record is from RefSeq and is a predicted model, not a curated record. The transcript is spliced from 2 exons.
AUUUGCAUAAGGUUAUCGACAUGGGAAUGAGACCGAAUACUCAUUUCGACAAAGCUGAUGGAAAUAUUUGUUGACAGUUUUCAAAGAACAAACUGGUCAUGCAUUCACCUAGACACAAAUGAAGAACAAAUGAGAUGACUGCAAAAAGGAUUGGAGGAUAUAAACGAAGCUUAUUUCCAAAACUGGUGUGGGAUGGAGUAAUGAAUUAGGAACAAUUUCUACAAGUGAUAAGUGGUGGAAAGCAAGAAUUCAAAAAAUAAAAGGAGCAAAAAAAUUUAGGCAAUCUGGUAUCAAACUAUCUUUACAUUUGAAGUUUGACAGAAUAUUUUUGAACAUUGUUGCUACUGAAGAGUAUACAUGGGCACACCAUUGUCUGGAGUCCUCUGUGAUGAUAAUGUUGGUAUUGCUGAGGAUCCAAAUGCUAAUGAUAAAGAACCUGAUUUGGAAGAAGGAAGCGGUGAUUCAGGAGAAGAUGAAAUUUUAAAUUUCAUCGAUGAUGUUUGCAACAUGGUUAUAGGGGUUAAUAUGUCCAGCAAUAGCAACACACGCAGCAGUGGAAAGAGAAAAGAAAUAGAAUGUUUUGAGGUUCAAGCUAG